This is a non-coding RNA of Cinara cedri, 354 nucleotides long. Lineage: Eukaryota; Metazoa; Arthropoda; Insecta; Hemiptera; Aphididae. The record is from the annotation of a GenBank genome assembly.
UCGGGUUUUCAAAAGCUACACUCUUAUAAUUUAAAAAAAAAAAAAAAACUAAUUUUACUUAACUAAAUACGCGAAUAUAAUAUUAUUUUUAUGAAAUUUUAAACCCCGCAAUAAUUAUAAUUAAUUUUGUAAAUGUAACAACAAUUUUGUAAAGUCACAGAGAAUCCAACGGUUUGGACGUAUUGUGACGAGAAGACCGGAAUCAGUGUAAUUACUUACACCUAAAGCCGGUUGUUGAGCGGAGACUUAUUCAAAAUAAAGAGAGACGUCCAGAGAAACGAUUGAUGGAUUGAUGGAAGAAGUGAAUUGGCAAGAAAAGUGGAAGGUAAAAAAUUCCCGAAACAUAAACACCAC